Molecule: ribosomal RNA, 276 nt
Filed under: uncultured bacterium
Lineage: Bacteria
Description: partial 16S ribosomal RNA
Rfam family: Bacterial small subunit ribosomal RNA
Source: RNAcentral
GGGGCCUCUGAGGAAUAAGCUCCGGCUAACUCCGUGCCAGCGGCCGCGGUAAUACGGGGGGAGCAAGCGUUAUCCGGAAUGAUUGGGCGUAAAGCGUCUGUAAGUGGUUUUUUAAGUCCACUGCCCAAUACGUUGGCUCAACCAACGGCAGGCAGUGGAGUACUAAAGAACUAGAGUGCGGUAGAGGUAGAGGGAAUCCCUAGCGUAACAGUGAAAUGUGUAAAUUUUAUGGAGAACACCACCGGCCAAAGCGCUCUACUGCGCCGAGUCUGACCC